RNAcentral lists this ribosomal RNA (439 nucleotides) under uncultured bacterium. Its description in RNAcentral is "partial 16S ribosomal RNA". It matches the Rfam family "Bacterial small subunit ribosomal RNA", at positions 338 to 795 of the family's 1533-position model. The record is from RNAcentral.
CCUACGGGCGGCAGCAGUGGGGAAUAUUGCACAAUGGGGGAAAGCCUGAUGCAGCGACGCCGCGUGAGUGAUGAAGGCCUUCGGGUCGUAAAGCUCUGUCCUCAAGGAAGAUAAUGACGGUACUUGACGAGGAAGCCCCGGCUAACUACGUGCCAGCAGCCGCGGUAAUACGUAGGGGGCAAGCGUUAUCCGGAUUUACUGGGGGUAAAGGGAGCGUAGGGGGUUUCCUAAGUCAGAGGUGAAAGGUUACGGCUCAACCGUAGUCAGCCUUUGAAACUGGGGAACUUGAGUGCAGGAGAGGAGAGUGGAAUUCCUAGUGUAGCGGUGAAAUGCGUAGAUAUUAGGAGGAACACCAGUGGCGAAGGCGGCUCACUGGACUGUAACUGACACUGAGGCUCGAAAGCGUGGGGAGCAAACAGGAGUAGAUACCCCUGUAGUC